Molecule: non-coding RNA, 52 nt
Organism: Heterocephalus glaber (naked mole-rat)
Lineage: Eukaryota; Metazoa; Chordata; Mammalia; Rodentia; Bathyergidae
Source: Rfam
GGGAAACGGGAGGAGGGGCCCUCCCCAGGCCCCACAACAAUGUUAUGGGGCA